GCGGGUGUAGCUCAGUGGCAGAGCAUCUGCUUCCCAAGCAGAAUGUCGCGGGUUCGACCCCCGUCGCCCGCUCCA
This 75-nucleotide transfer RNA is filed under the name Armatimonadota bacterium. RNAcentral describes it as "Armatimonadetes bacterium (soil metagenome) tRNA-Gly". It matches the Rfam family "tRNA". From Rfam's summary of the family: Transfer RNA (tRNA) molecules are approximately 80 nucleotides in length. Their secondary structure includes four short double-helical elements and three loops (D, anti-codon, and T loops). Lineage: Bacteria; Bacillati; Armatimonadota. The record is from RNAcentral.